UACCGCGGUUAUACGAGAGACUCAAGUUGACAGACCCCGGCGUAAAGAGUGGUUAAAAUCAUACCCCUAUACUAAAGCCGAACAACCUCAAAGCUGUUAUACGCAUCCGAAGGUUAGAAGUACAACUACGAAAGUGGCUUUAAUCAGUUGAACCCACGAAAGCCAAGGUA
This 170-nucleotide ribosomal RNA is filed under the name Grammistops ocellatus (ocellate soapfish). Its description in RNAcentral is "partial 12S rRNA". The record is from RNAcentral. Lineage: Eukaryota; Metazoa; Chordata; Actinopteri; Perciformes; Serranidae.